Molecule: long non-coding RNA, 1704 nt
Filed under: Polistes fuscatus (common paper wasp)
Lineage: Eukaryota; Metazoa; Arthropoda; Insecta; Hymenoptera; Vespidae
Description: uncharacterized LOC122523151
Source: RNAcentral
GUUCAUAACAGUUAACAUCGCGAUAAACCAGAUAGAAAGAAAGUUAAAUUUAAGAAGGAUUCUGAAAAAAGAUUUGAGAUUACUCUAAAGGUAAAGCGACUUUUGGGGAUAAAGCGUAUAUCAAAAGAUAAGAAUGUAUAUUGAUAAUGCGAAAAGUGUGAAUCUUUUCGUUAUAUCUAAAGCAGUUCAGUGUGAAGGAUUUCACGAGUUGAAGUCCCACGAAAAAUAAUGGAAAGAAUCCGGAUCGUCGCGGAGGCACGACUUGAUGUAUGAUAGCUUCAGAAAUGGCUGUCGGCGCGAGACCACGUUCCGAUAAAUCUCCCGGUUUUUUUUAAACUUGUGGACGGUCUUGUCGUUCACGUAUAAACGUAUCGUUUUAAUAAAUAUUUAUAACGAGAUAUGGGGAAGGGACGGGGACCAAUUGGAACCGAAGUUUUACUACUACUACUGGUGAUGGUAGUGUAGCGUAAACGUUGUUGUCGUUGUUGAUCGGAAUCAUCACCACUAGUGAUCCACCAUCGAUGAACUCCAACUCCCAUGAACUGAAAGUUUCUCCUCCAACGAUAAUAAAGAUAUCCAUUAUAUAUCCGGUCGGAGUUUGCCCAAGCGAACGUUUUCUUAUAUAUCGAUCUUCGUGUUUUCGUUUCUUUCCUUCUUGUCCUUCAACGAUCACUCUCCCUUUAACCAUCUAGUGAAUACGAAACGGUUGGUGAUCUUUGUCUUCGAAACUCGCGCCGUUGCGAUUGAUUGUUUUUUAUUUUUCUUUUUUUUUCAUUUUUUCGUCAAUAUACUCUUUCUUUUCCAAGAUGAUCAGUUUAUUCUCUCUAUGAUUGACGCGAUCAUCGAUACGUAAUUCUUCUUCUUAGGUACCUUUUUUUCUACUUCGUUCAGAGAUCCAAGAAUCCGUUGGAAAUGUAAUUCAAUGUAAAUUGAAGACAGAGACAGGAAUUUCAGACAUGCAAUAAUUAUUUUACCAAUGGUAGUACGUUUACUCCUCAAAGGAAUUUCGUUAAUUUAAUAGAGAGGAGCAAGCAGAAAGACGUGUCAUAAGAAGGAUAUAUGUGUUAUAUACUGUAAGAGUUUAACAUGGAAACGACUGUCGACAUACAAUCCGAUUUGGUUCGCGAACUCUCGACGAGGUAUCAUUGAUGUCGAUUACGAUGCAGUCGAUCGCCUCACCGAGAAUGUUUUCUUAUGCUGGGUGUCCCCGGACGACGAGGUCCAUCCCCCUUUAUUGGAUUUAGUCUCUUAAUGAUUUUGUCAAGCCACAGAGGGAGAAAAGAACCUGCCAACGUUCUCUCGUACCUGGUUCUGCGUUCGGAUUUGGCGCUAUGACCGUCGUUGACUUAGUUGGCGCGGGAAUCCUCGUAAAUUAUGAACAUCUGCGCGACGCAAUGAAUCACCGCCGAUACGUUUCAUUUCUCAUCUUCUUUCAGUAGAUAAUAGGAAUCUUGUGAAAGGGGUAAACACGAGUAGCGAUAUCGAACAAGAUUUUAUACAUACGUUAUUGUAUAUAGUUUUGUAGUGUGCAUAUAUUAAAAUUGUAUUAAAGAGAUUAGAAGGAAAACUCUUUAGGAGUUUUCAAAUGAAUGUGAAUCUUUUAAAUGGGGGAAGCUAGUUUACUGAAAGUACUAAUAUUUUAAAUAGUAUCUAUAAAUAAGUAAAUAUCUAAAUUAAUUGUUCUCACGCUUUAUACGAUUAGAA